GAUGAACGCUGGCGGCGUGCUUAACACAUGCAAGUCGAACGAUGAAGCCCAGCUUGCUGGGUGGAUUAGUGGCGAACGGGUGAGUAACACGUGAGCAACCUGCCCCUGACUCUGGGAUAAGCGCUGGAAACGGCGUCUAAUACUGGAUAUGUCCCGUCACCGCAUGGUGUGCGGGUGGAAAGAUUUUUCGGUUGGGGAUGGGCUCGCGGCCUAUCAGCUUGUUGGUGAGGUAAUGGCUCACCAAGGCGUCGACGGGUAGCCGGCCUGAGAGGGUGACCGGCCACACUGGGACUGAGACACGGCCCAGACUCCUACGGGAGGCAGCAGUGGGGAAUAUCGCACAAUGGGCGGAAGCCUGAUGCAGCAACGCCGCGUGAGGGAUGACGGCCUUCGGGUUGUAAACCUCUUUUAGCAGGGAAGAAGCGAAAGUGACGGUACCUGCAGAAAAAGCACCGGCUAACUACGUG
This 467-nucleotide ribosomal RNA is filed under the name uncultured bacterium. Its description in RNAcentral is "partial 16S ribosomal RNA". It matches the Rfam family "Bacterial small subunit ribosomal RNA", at positions 28 to 507 of the family's 1533-position model. The record is from RNAcentral.